ACAUUUCACUAUCUGAAGAGCAGAAAAUGUGUUAAUAGGAGCCUGGUGAGUGGAGGAGACUGAAGAUGGAGAGAGAGCCUGGACCUCAACAUGAGCAUCUGGAGCCAUUUGGCAGCAUUAGGCUGUGACCGCUUAGAGAACCGAAAGAAACACCACCUGGAACACAGCUGUGACUUGAUAAACAAGUGAAACAUUCUUUGGUGUGGUGAGGGGAAAACAAAUUUCUCAAAGGACACGCACCAUGGUGUAUGAGAGGACACUGGAGCCCAGCCAGCAUCUGACAUGCUGAAUUCAAAGUGCAGGUGAAAGUAGGACAACUGAUUCACAAGCUGGGAUGCCUGUGUUGUUGUUUGCCAGUGUGCGUGUGUGUGUUUUCCUGGCACCCUUCAUUCAUUCCCCAGCACAGUUGACAUCAGGUUGGAAGCAGUGAGUUCUGAGGGAGACUGCUAGAGGACCCAACUUGGAGAAUCAACGAUCUGCGAUGAAGAUAAUGAAGAUAAAGACAAUGUCAAUGUCAGCGUCCAAAAUCAUAAGGACCCUUU
RNAcentral lists this long non-coding RNA (542 nucleotides) under Homo sapiens (human). Its description in RNAcentral is "long intergenic non-protein coding RNA 578". Lineage: Eukaryota; Metazoa; Chordata; Mammalia; Primates; Hominidae. The record is from RNAcentral.